Molecule: ribosomal RNA, 1499 nt
Filed under: uncultured bacterium
Lineage: Bacteria
Description: bacterial SSU rRNA
Rfam family: Bacterial small subunit ribosomal RNA
Source: RNAcentral
AGAGUUUGAUCCUGGCUCAGGAUGAACGCUGGCGGCGUGCCUAAUACAUGCAAGUCGAACGGGGAGUACUUACUUCGGUUUUUACUCCUAGUGGCGAACGGGUGAGUAACGCGUUGGUGACCUGCCCCGAAGAGGGGGAUAACUUCGCGAAAGCGGAGCUAAUACCCCAUGUGGUCUUACCGCUUAGAUACGGUUUGACUAAAGGAGCAAUCCACUUUGGGAGGGGCCUGCGUCCCAUCAGCUAGUUGGUAAGGUAACGGCCUACCAAGGCGAAGACGGGUAGGGGGCCUGAGAGGGUGGCCCCCCACACUGGCACUGAAACACGGGCCAGACACCUACGGGUGGCAGCAGUAGGGAAUAUUGCACAAUGGGCGAAAGCCUGAUGCAGCAACGCCGCGUGCACGAAGAAGGCCUUCGGGUUGUAAAGUGCUUUUCUGGAGGAAGAGGAAGGACGGUACUCCAGGAAUAAGGAUCGGCUAACUACGUGCCAGCAGCCGCGGUAACACGUAGGAUCCGAGCGUUAUCCGAAUUUACUGGGCGUAAAGCGCGUGUAGGCGGUCGGGUAAGUUGGACGUGAAAGCUCCUGGCUCAACUGGGAGAGGUCGUUCAAAACUGCCUGGCUAGAGGGCGACAGAGGGAGGUGGAAUUCCCGGUGUAGUGGUGAAAUGCGUAGAUAUCGGGAGGAACACCAGUGGCGAAGGCGGCCUCCUGGGUCGCACCUGACGCUCAGACGCGAAAGCUAGGGGAGCAAACGGGAUUAGAUACCCCGGUAGUCCUAGCUGUAAACGAUGUGGACUUGGCGUUGGUGGGGUUAAAUCCAUCAGUGCCGGAGCUAACGCGAUAAGUCCACCGCCUGGGGACUACGGUCGCAAGAUUAAAACUCAAAGGAAUUGGCGGGGGCCCGCACAAGCAGCGGAGCGUGUGGUUUAAUUCGAUGCUACACGAAGAACCUUACCCGGGUUUGACAUCCAGGUGGUAGGGAACCGAAAGGCGACCGACCCUUCGGGGAGCCUGGACAGGUGCUGCAUGGCUGUCGUCAGCUCGUGUCGUGAGAUGUCCGGUUAAGUCCGGUAACGAGCGCAACCCUUGCUGUAUGUUAUACGUGUCAUACAGGACUGCCGGUUUAGUGCCGGAGGAAGGCGGGGAUGACGUCAAGUCAGCAUGGCCUUUAUAUCCGGGGCUACACACACGCUACAAUGGCCAGUACAACAGGUUGCAAAACCGCGAGGUGGAGCCAAUCCCCAAAACUGGCCUCAGUUCAGAUUGCAGGCUGCAACUCGCCUGCAUGAAGUCGGAGUUGCUAGUAACCGCGCGUCAGCUAUAGUGCGGUGAAUACGUUCUCGGGCCUUGCACACACCGCCCGUCACGUCAUGGAAGCUGGUAACACCUGAAGCCGGUAUCCCAACCGCAAGGAGGGAGCUGUCGAAGGUGGGACUGGUGACUGGGACGAAGUCGUAACAAGGUAGGUGUACCGGAAGGUGCGGCUGGAUCACCUCCUU